UACGUAGGUGGCAAGCGUUGCCCGGAUUUAUUGGGCGUAAAGCGAGCGCAGGCGGUUCCUUAAGUCUGAUGUGAAAGCCCACGGCUCAACCGUGGAAGGUCAUUGGAAACUGGGGAACUUGAGUGCAGAAGAGGAGAGUGGAAUUCCAUGUGUAGCGGUGAAAUGCGUAGAUAUAUGGAGGAACACCAGUGGCGAAGGCGACUCUCUGGUCUGUAACUGACGCUGAGGCUCGAAAGCGUGGGGAGCAAACAGGAUUAGA
RNAcentral lists this ribosomal RNA (259 nucleotides) under uncultured prokaryote. Its description in RNAcentral is "partial 16S ribosomal RNA". It matches the Rfam family "Bacterial small subunit ribosomal RNA", at positions 524 to 782 of the family's 1533-position model. The record is from RNAcentral.